AAUAAACAUUACAUUAAUAAGCUUUAAUUGAUGAUUCAGAACAAUUAUCAUGGGAACUCGGAGGUUCCAGAACAAGGCGACACAGCCUGCAGUAGCUCCAAUUUUUCCCUUUAUCUGUUUCCCAAGCAACGGAACAUCGGUUCCUAGGGCAGCAAUCAAUAGAAGCUAUAUUAAGAUGUCAUCAUUUUUGUAAUCUGCAUGAAUAUGCAGCAAAAUCCGUCUCAUUCUCAUUCCUAUGCUUCUGAGGUCUAAAGGCCACCGAAAAAUUUAGAAUUCGACAGUUAUCCACAAUAUAGCUUUCUUUUUUAUUUCGUAAAACUCAUGUCUAUUGUGAAUGACAGUGAUCUUUAAACAAAUUGCCCAGUGAUAAUUGUUCUUUUGAUUAUUGUUAUACGUGGUUCGGGGACCAGUAGCUCUAUUAUCGAGUUUGACCAAUUCCAGUAACUUGUGUAUCGAUUGCGGAGGAAGAUGAAGGUACUGGGCGUCCUUCUCCUUUGUGGAUUUUUGGUUGUGUGUGUGAGUUCUAAUACUAGUAAUACCACUAAUCGUGAGGAUCAACCCACUACGAUGUCCUCUGUUUCAGAUCCCACAACUGUUCCUUCCGGCACGACUCCUACUAGUAGUUCGCCACAGAUGGUUCUACAAUCUGGCCUCGUUUUUAUUACGUUAUUGCCAUUAGCCCUCGUUCUAAGUAGGAUAUAACGUUGACAUUAUCAAAACACAAGGCAAUCAUGUUUUACAAUUAAUGUAUUAUAUUCAAUAUCUAUCUCCAAUGCUCAGUUAUUAUUAUGUUUUGAAUGGAGUGUUCAAUUUUGUUAGUUUUUACUACUUUUUAAGCAUUUAAUAAUUCUACUUUGCAUUAUAUAUCAAUUAAUAUCUUAUGUAUGAUUUGUAUACUCAUAUUAGAAUUUAUUAAAAAGCAAUUUUGUGAAAACACAUUCUGAUUAUACACCCAAGUACUCUGAAGUUUAUAUUAAAAUGAUGCUCGUGAAAAUGUC
This is a long non-coding RNA of Saccostrea cuccullata (small rock oyster), 998 nucleotides long. RefSeq lists it as uncharacterized. NCBI's taxonomy places the organism in Eukaryota, Metazoa, Mollusca, Bivalvia, Ostreida, Ostreidae. The transcript has 2 exons. The record is from RefSeq and is a predicted model, not a curated record.